This 261-nucleotide long non-coding RNA is filed under the name Panax ginseng (ginseng). RNAcentral's name for it is "long non-coding RNA (PGIN_LNC005127)". The record is from RNAcentral. Lineage: Eukaryota; Viridiplantae; Streptophyta; Magnoliopsida; Apiales; Araliaceae.
CGAAUUAUCCAGAUUCAAGAAUACAAAUUCAAACCAAACUAUAGGCAUAAUAUCAUACACUCAGAUAAUUCAUAAAUGUUAUAGAGAUGCUGUGUGUGUGUGUUGUGUUCGCCAAAACUUGAUUUAAGCAAAGAAUACACAUGCUAAACUGCUCAAAACAGAAAAUUAUAGUCUACAUUGAGACUCAUGUAUACUUAUUCAACGAAGACUAUUUCAACAUAUCAAAACAAACUAAAGUUCAACAAUGGGCUUAACUUCUUU